UUUCUACUCCCUCCGUCCGAAAAUACUUGUCAUCAAAAUGGAUAAAAAGAGAUGUAUCUAAAACUAAAAUACGUCUAGAUACAUUUCCUUUUAUCCAUUUUGAUGACAAGUAUUUCCGGACAGAGGGAGUAUUUG
This is a non-coding RNA of Triticum aestivum (bread wheat), 135 nucleotides long. The record is from Rfam. Lineage: Eukaryota; Viridiplantae; Streptophyta; Magnoliopsida; Poales; Poaceae.